This 253-nucleotide ribosomal RNA is filed under the name uncultured bacterium. RNAcentral's name for it is "partial 16S ribosomal RNA". It matches the Rfam family "Bacterial small subunit ribosomal RNA", at positions 524 to 776 of the family's 1533-position model. The record is from RNAcentral.
UACGGAGGGGGUUAGCGUUGUUCGGAAUUACUGGGCGUAAAGCGCGCGUAGGCGGGCUGUUAAGUCAGAGGUGAAAUCCCGGGGCUCAACCCCGGAACUGCCUUUGAUACUGGCAGCCUGGAGUUCGAGAGAGGUGAGUGGAAUUCCGAGUGUAGAGGUGAAAUUCGUAGAUAUUCGGAGGAACACCAGUGGCGAAGGCGGCUCACUGGCUCGAUACUGACGCUGAGGUGCGAAAGCGUGGGGAGCAAACAGG